UUAUAUGUAUAUACACUUCUUCUCAUACACGUAACAUUGUCCUUGCCCUUUAAUUCCGACUGGAAAAUCUCUGCAAAAUUUCCGGGAAAAAUCGAUCGGAAAGCAGGUUUGAAAAUCGGUUUCCAGGCUUUGGCUCUUAUAGUUUCUCUAUUUCCUUUUACCCAGCGAGAAGUCAUUGCUUACACUGUUUUCCUACAGUAAUUCAAAGGAUUCUCAAGGUUUAUUGUGGGAGGCUUUUGGGCAGGAUUUUCUCGGAUGCAAUAUCAUGCUUUGGAAGGAUAGUUGAUUUGUAAAGUCAAACUAAUUUAAUGGCCAAAAACAAUAGGAGCAUAAUCGGAUGUUCUUUAGUCUUCACUUGAUGUGAAGUGUGGAAUAAGUUCUGCACAUCCUUAAUCAAGCAUAGUCUUUUUGCUGAUGCAUUAAGCGGUAUUGAUCAUUAAGCUUGCUGAUGGGAUGGAAGAAGGGGGUUUUGUUUUCAUUUUUUUUUCUUCUCUCUCUUGUCGAGUCUUCAGGCAGAUCAGGUAAAAUGUGGUCUAUUAGCUUGGGUACUGGAUCAACGUUAUUCCACAGCUGGACAAUCUGCAGCGCAAGCAUAUUCGUACUUGUUGCUCUUGUUCUGUCCAUGUAUCUUAUAUUCGAGCAUUUAGCAGCUUACAAUCAGCCUGAGGAGCAAAAAUUCUUGAUUGGACUCAUUCUGAUGGUACCUGUUUAUGCACUGGAAUCGUAUUUGUCACUAUUGGAUUCAAAUGCUGCAUUCAACUGUGAAAUAAUCAGGGACUGUUAUGAAGCGUUUGCAUUAUAUUGCUUUGAAAGAUAUCUGAUAGCCUGCUUAGGUGGUGAGAAAAGGACAAUUGAAUUUAUGGAAAGUCAAAGCCUUACUGCUUCCAGUAUACCUCUUCUGGAAGAGGCUUAUGCUUAUGGAGUUGUGGAACAUCCUUUUCCACUGAAUUGCUUGCUAAGGGAAUGGCAUCUUGGUUCUGACUUCUAUCAAGCUGUAAAAAUUGGCAUUGUUCAAUAUAUGAUACUGAAGAUGAUCUGCGCACUUCUAGCAAUGAUAACUGAAUACGUUGGUGUUUAUGGGGAAGGGAAAUUCGAGUGGAAAUAUGCGUAUCCGUACUUGGCAGUUGUUCUUAAUUUUAGUCAGACCUGGGCCUUAUAUUGCCUCGUACAGUUCUAUUCUGUCACCAAACUUAAAUUGGCACCGAUUAAACCUUUGGCGAAGUUUCUGGUGUUUAAGUCCAUUGUAUUCCUGACAUGGUGGCAAGGUGUGGCUGUUGCAUUUCUUUUCUCAAUGGGAGUCUUUAAAGGGUCUUUGGCGCUGGAGUUGAAGACACGCAUACAAGACUAUAUCAUCUGUAUUGAGAUGGGUAUUGCUGCUGUGGUACACCUUUAUGUUUUCCCAGCAGUACCUUACAAGCGUGGAGAAAGAUGUGUACGCAAUGUUGCCGUGAUGGCUGACUAUGCAUCCUUAGGAACACCUCCAGAUCCAGAGGAGGUUCAAGACUGUGAAAGAUCUACUAAAAUACGGCUUGCUCGGCAUGAUAAUAGAGAGAAGCGUUUAAAUUUCCACCAGAGUGUACGUGAUGUGGUCGUUGGAAGUGGUGAAAUUAUGGUUGAUGACAUGAAAUUCACAGUUUCACAUGUUGUGGAACCAGUUGAAAGGGGAAUUGCGAAAGUAAACAGAACUUUUCAUCAAAUAUCUGAAAAUGUGAAACGGUAUGAGGAGCUGAGAAAGAACUCUAAGGAUGAUAAUUAUCUUAUCCCCUUGAAUUCAUGGUCAAAGGAAUUUUCUGAAGUGCACGAUAACCUUAUUGAAGGGAGCGUCAGCGACAGUGGUUUGCCUGAUGGGAAGAGACCACAGUACCAAUCCAAAGCAACACCAUAUCAGUUUAGAUACAGUUGAUUUCACAUUCAUUCAUUGAAAAGGAAGAUUCUAAUGAGAUUGUGAAUUUGUGAUGUCCAUACGAUGCCAAUAUACUUGGUGAGGUUCCUGGGAGACCAAAAAUAUCAUGAUGCUUUGUUACUGUGGAAAUAUUUGGAGAAUUUUUAAAGAGCACUAACUACUACCAUUAGUGGAAGUUGAUCAAAGAAUUUGCUGCAGAGCCAAUGACAGUACAAAAAUAUUAGUUGUUUAAACAGGCACUUGUUUUGACAAAUAUACAUAUGAUAGAAUUGGAGAAGCGAACAUUUCAUCUGUAAAGUUAAAGUACAUACAUAUUAUGGCUAUUAAGUUUAUCUUA
Cornus florida is the source of this 2240-nucleotide RNA transcript. It is a transcript of the gene named protein LAZ1 homolog 1, with no coding region annotated. The transcript is spliced from 10 exons. Lineage: Eukaryota; Viridiplantae; Streptophyta; Magnoliopsida; Cornales; Cornaceae. The record is from RefSeq and is a predicted model, not a curated record.